This 405-nucleotide ribosomal RNA is filed under the name uncultured bacterium. Its description in RNAcentral is "bacterial SSU rRNA". It matches the Rfam family "Bacterial small subunit ribosomal RNA", at positions 355 to 776 of the family's 1533-position model. The record is from RNAcentral.
UGGGGAAUAUUGCACAAUGGGGGAAACCCUGAUGCAGCGACGCCGCGUGCGGGAUGACGGCCUUCGGGUUGUAAACCGCUUUCAGCAGGGACGAAACAAGACGGUACCUGCAGAAGAAGCGCCGGCUAACUACGUGCCAGCAGCCGCGGUAAUACGUAGGGCGCAAGCGUUGUCCGGAAUUAUUGGGCGUAAAGAGCUCGUAGGCGGUCUGUCGCGUCGGAUGUGAAAGCUCGAGGCUUAACCUCGGGUCUGCAUCCGAUACGGGCAGACUAGAGGCAGGUAGGGGAGAACGGAAUUCCCGGUGUAGCGGUGAAAUGCGCAGAUAUCGGGAGGAACACCGGUGGCGAAGGCGGUUCUCUGGGCCUGUACUGACGCUGAGGAGCGAAAGCGUGGGGAGCGAACAGG